Non-coding RNA from Trichonephila inaurata madagascariensis, 73 nucleotides. NCBI's taxonomy places the organism in Eukaryota, Metazoa, Arthropoda, Arachnida, Araneae, Nephilidae. The record is from the annotation of a GenBank genome assembly.
GUCCCUGUAGCGCAAUGGAUAGCGCGUUGGACUUCUAAUCCAAAGUUCGUGGGUGAGAAUCCUACCUGGGAUG